This 478-nucleotide ribosomal RNA is filed under the name uncultured bacterium. Its description in RNAcentral is "partial 16S ribosomal RNA". It matches the Rfam family "Bacterial small subunit ribosomal RNA", at positions 28 to 507 of the family's 1533-position model. The record is from RNAcentral.
GAUGAACGCUGGCGGCGUGCUUAACACAUGCAAGUCGAACGAGAAGUGAAGACGGAAACCUUCGGGCGGAAGGCUUUAUUUCGAGUGGCGGACGGGUGAGUAACGCGUGGGUAACCUGCCUCAUACAGGGGGAUAACAGUUGGAAACGACUGUUAAUACCGCAUAAGACCGCAGCACCGCAUGGUGCGGGGGUAAAAACUCCGGUGGUAUGAGAUGGACCCGCGUUCGAUUAGCCAGUUGGCGGGGUAACGGCCCACCAAAGCGACGAUCGAUAGCCGAUCUGAGAGGAUGACCGGCCACAUUGGGACUGAGACGCGGCCCAAACUCCUACGGGAGGCAGCAGUGGGGAAUAUUGCACAAUGGGGGAAACCCUGAUGCAGCGACGCCGCGUGAGUGAAGAAGUAUUUCGGUAUGUAAAGCUCUAUCAGCAGGGAAGAAAAUGACGGUACCUGAGUAAGAAGCCCCGGCUAACUACGUG